Fukomys damarensis (Damara mole-rat) is the source of this 247-nucleotide long non-coding RNA. RefSeq lists it as uncharacterized. Lineage: Eukaryota; Metazoa; Chordata; Mammalia; Rodentia; Bathyergidae. The transcript has 3 exons. The record is from RefSeq and is a predicted model, not a curated record.
CUUUAAGAGAGCCAAUUCUGGAAAACAACCAAACUUUGAAUACUCACAUGCAUUGGAACGUGAUUAGGAGGUUAAGGUUUAAUAAUAAAAUGAAGACCAUAACAAAACAGGCUCCUUAGCCCAGCAAUUCUUAUUUUUAGCCUUUGUGAGGAGCUUUACAUUUGGCUAUUAAAACUUCAGGAUGGGGCCGAGGAUUUAGCUCAGUGGUUCCACCGCCUGCCUUGCAAGCGCAAGGACCUGAGUUCAU